This 251-nucleotide ribosomal RNA is filed under the name uncultured Eubacteriales bacterium. Its description in RNAcentral is "uncultured Clostridiales bacterium partial 16S ribosomal RNA". It matches the Rfam family "Bacterial small subunit ribosomal RNA", at positions 83 to 334 of the family's 1533-position model. Lineage: Bacteria; Bacillati; Bacillota; Clostridia; Eubacteriales. The record is from RNAcentral.
UAAAGUGGAUUAGCGGCGGACGGGUGAGUAACACGUGAGUAACCUGCCUUAGACAUUGGGAUAGCCUCGGGAAACCGGGAUUAAUACCAAAUAAAAUCAUAAUGACACAUGUCAUAACGAUCAAAACUCCGGUGGUCUAAGAUGGACUCGCGUCCCAUUAGCUAGUUGGUAGAGUAAAAGCCUACCAAGGCGACGAUGGGUAGCCGGCCUGAGAGGGUGAACGGUCACAUUGGAACUGAGAAACGGUCCAA